This 1363-nucleotide ribosomal RNA is filed under the name uncultured bacterium. RNAcentral describes it as "bacterial SSU rRNA". It matches the Rfam family "Bacterial small subunit ribosomal RNA", at positions 1 to 1361 of the family's 1533-position model. The record is from RNAcentral.
UUAGAGUUUGAUCCUGGCUCAGGAUGAACGCUAGCGGGAGGCUUAACACAUGCAAGUCGAGGGGCAUCACGGAGUAGCAAUAUUUUGGUGGCGACCGGCGCACGGGUGAGUAACGCGUAUGUAACCUACCCCCAACAGGGGAAUAACCCGGAGAAAUUCGGACUAAUACCGCAUAACGACGGACUUGGGCAUCCAAGACCGUCCGAAGCAGCGAUGCGGUUGGGGAUGGGCAUGCGUAACAUUAGCUAGUUGGUAGGGUAACGGCCUACCAAGGCUACGAUGUUUAGGGGACCUGAGAGGGUGGCCCCCCACACUGGUACUGGGACACGGACCAGACUCCUACGGGAGGCAGCAGUGAGGAAUAUUGGUCAAUGGGCGGAAGCCUGAACCAGCCAUCCCGCGUGGAGGAAGACGGCCCUAUGGGUUGUAAACUUCUUUUCAAGGGGAAGAAAGUUCGCGACGAGUCGCGAUUUGCCGGUACCUUUGGAAUAAGCAUCGGCUAACUCCGUGCCAGCAGCCGCGGUAAUACGGAGGAUGCGAGCGUUAUCCGGAUUUAUUGGGUUUAAAGGGUGCGUAGGCCGGCCGAUAAGUCAGCGGUGAAAUACCACAGCUUAACUGUGGAACUGCCGUUGAUACUGUUGGUCUUGAAUAUGGUCAAGGCAGGCGGAAUGUGUAAUGUAGCGGUGAAAUGCUUAGAUAUUACACAGAACACCGAUUGCGAAGGCAGCUUGCUGGGCCAUUAUUGACGCUGAGGCACGAAAGCGUGGGGAUCGAACAGGAUUAGAUACCCUGGUAGUCCACGCCGUAAACGAUGAUCACUCGCUGUUGUUAGAUAUACAGUUCAGCCGCUAAGGGAAAGCAUUAACUGAUCCACCUGGGGAGUACGGGCGCAAGGCUGAAACUCAAAGGAAUUGACGGGGGGCCGCACAAGCGGAGGGAACAUGUGGAUUAAUUGGAUGAUACGCGAGGAACAUUACUUGGGCUUAAAUGUAGAGUGCAUGGGGGGGAAACCCUCCUUUCCUUCGGGUCUCUUUACAAGGUGAUGCAUGGUUGUCGUCAGCUCGUGCCGGGAGGUGUCGGGUUGAGUCCCAUAACGAGCGCAACCCUUCUCGUUAGUUGCCAGCGGGUAAUGCCGGGGACUCUAGCGAAACUGCCACCGUAAGGUGAGAGGAAGGUGGGGAUGACGUCAAAUCAGCACGGCCCUUACGUCCAGGGCCACACACGUGUUACAAUGGCCGGUACAGAGGGCAGCUACCAUGUGAAUGGACGCUAAUCUCCAAAGCCGGUCUCAGUUCGGAUCGGAGUCUGCAACUCGACUCCGUGAAGCUGGAUUCGCUAGUAAUCGCGCAUCAGCCAUGGCGCG